This 250-nucleotide ribosomal RNA is filed under the name uncultured bacterium. Its description in RNAcentral is "partial 16S ribosomal RNA". It matches the Rfam family "Bacterial small subunit ribosomal RNA", at positions 524 to 773 of the family's 1533-position model. The record is from RNAcentral.
GACGGAGGGUGCGAGCGUUAUUCGGAAUUAUUGGGCGUAAAGGGCGCGUAGGCGGCCGGUCAAGUCAGAUGUGAAAGCCCGGGGCUUAACCUCGGAAGUGCAUUUGAAACUGGUCGGCUUGAGUUCGGGAGAGGAAAGCGGAAUUCCUGGUGUAGAGGUGAAAUUCGUAGAUAUCAGGAGGAACACCGGUGGCGAAGGCGGCUUUCUGGACCGAAACUGACGCUGAGGCGCGAAAGCGUGGGGAGCAAAC